Quercus robur (English oak) is the source of this 413-nucleotide long non-coding RNA. RefSeq lists it as uncharacterized. The record is from RefSeq and is a predicted model, not a curated record. NCBI's taxonomy places the organism in Eukaryota, Viridiplantae, Streptophyta, Magnoliopsida, Fagales, Fagaceae. The transcript has 4 exons.
AGAGAGAGAGAGAGAGGUAUCAGCAAUGGAGGCGUUCGAGAAACUAAGAGAAAGCCUCUAUUAAUCAAUUUAAUGUUUAAUUCUAAUUCCAAUUCGUGGGUUUCGGUUUUUUUUAGUAUAGGUUUCUUGUGAUUGCUAUUCAAUUCGCCUAAACGUUGAAAAGAUUGUUUCCAAUUUUGUCAGAAACAACACUGAUCCCAAUUCUCAAGAAAUUCUCAAGAGGACAUUCAAGUUAUAGUCGUUAAGAGUUUAAUGUGGGUGUUGCUUUUUGCUCACGGUCAUGGAAUCUUGCACAGACGUGAAGCUGUGGCGACCGGGCAGGUUCUAUUCCGUCGUUUCUAUUGCAAGAAAUCGUUUGACUGCUUCAAUGUUAAGAACUGAGGCAGGAAGCUUGGAAUCUAGCAAAUGAUAGG